RNAcentral lists this non-coding RNA (45 nucleotides) under Schistosoma bovis. Lineage: Eukaryota; Metazoa; Platyhelminthes; Trematoda; Strigeidida; Schistosomatidae. The record is from RNAcentral. RNAcentral also lists the same sequence under 1 other name.
AUCCAACUGACGAAUCCCAAAUAGGACGAAAUUUACAUUUUAGAU